UACGGGGGGAGCAAGCGUUGUUCGGAUUUACUGGGCGUAAAGGGCGCGUAGGCGGCGCAACAAGUCACUUGUGAAAUCUCCGGGCUUAACCCGGAGCGGCCAAGUGAUACUGUCGUGCUAGAGUGCGGAAGGGGCUACUGGAAUUCUCGGUGUAGCGGUGAAAUGCGUAGAUAUCAGGAGGAACACCAAUGGCGAAGGCAGCACUCUGGGACGUGACUGACGCUGAGACGCGAAAGCGUGGGGAGCAAACAGG
This 253-nucleotide ribosomal RNA is filed under the name uncultured bacterium. Its description in RNAcentral is "partial 16S ribosomal RNA". It matches the Rfam family "Bacterial small subunit ribosomal RNA", at positions 524 to 776 of the family's 1533-position model. The record is from RNAcentral.